UCCAUGGGCCCCAGCGCUAACAGGUCACAGCGGUUGUUGUGCUCUACAGAGACUAUCAUGUGGGCCCUAUUCUCUAGAAUUGUAUCCAUGCAUAGUUUGUUACGUACGAAUCAAAUCAGGUAACCGUCCAUGCAUGCGGUUUCUGCGGGCGGGCUCAUUGCGAUUAGGAGCAGGUUGUUGAGAUCCGAAAUUUCUGCCAGAUGCCAACUGAACCAGCUCUUGAGUAUUAAAACCGAACCCCCGUGACUCCCUGCACUAUCUCAUCCGCUGCUGGGAGCUUGCAAUCUUCCAGGAACGUUUUUUUGGUGCUAGCCGAGAGAGAAUCGAGAGGAAGAGAGAGAGAAAACCAUGCGCUGUAGCCUGCUUGUGAAGCCACAAGGCCUCGGCUGGUCGCUCAGGAGGGAUCUCACCGGUGGGCGCUAGAAGGUUGGACAACCGAUGUCGCGGGGUGUGAAGCUCGCCGGACUUGGGAUCUCUGCGCGGUCACCUGUGCUCGGCUGAGCCGUGGUCUGGAGCGACCACAUGGCGAGGGGACUGGACAUCGGAGUUUAGAGCGUCGCCGUGAUCCAAGCGCCACGGUCGGUCAACUCUGCUCCGGUCGACGGUGAGUUUCCCCUCCGCACUCCGUUGCAUCUUCUAUGUUGGCGCUCGGUGUGGCGAUCUAGGAGCUGUCGGGGAGGAUCCUGUGCGCCGAGCCGUAGAUAGAAGAUGAUGGCAUGGCCAUCGGUAAGGGGAAGAAGGCGAGCCCAGGGCCAUCGACCUCGUGAUGAACGGUUAAGAUUAGAAGAAAGGGUAGAAGAAGCCGGGGCCAUAGGAUGCGAUCCGAACGGCCACGAUCAAAUCGCAGAUACCCUUUUGGGCGAUGGAAGCUAGACCGUAGAUCCGAGAUCCAAGGGCCCUGAUGGCAUACCGGUUCGGUAAAGUGAGCAUUUCAUCUAGGUCCUUGGUGUCUAAUCCAACGGCUCAAAAUAGAUCUUACCCCUUCGCCGUGCACUUUUCUUAAAGAGCCCCUUUGUUUUCUAGAAAAUAACCCGUCGUCCAUGCGGGUGUGGUUCUGAGUGUUGAGAACAUUUGCGCAGGGGACCCUGUACUUUACAGAAUUUGAUGCGCGGUCCAGAGAGAUAGAAAAAUCAGAAAAAUAAAUUUAGAAAAUGAUUUUAAUGUGAAAAUAAAUGCUAGAAACUUGUAAAAUUCAUAGUUAAUUCAUUUUAACUCCAAAUUGAGUCAUUUCAGUUCCUAUAAUUUUGUAUUAAUAUUGUCUAUCAACCAGUAACACUAGUUAGCCAUGAAGAUUGAAUUAAAAUUGUUCAUUUGGAUUAAUCUAUUCUAAGCACUAAAUAAUUUCGGAAAUUCAUAACCGUAGCUCCGAAUUUAGUGGUUCUUGUUCCUACGAUCUCGUAGCAACGUGUAGAUUAUUAUUAUACAAUUUGUUCUUAUAUUUGGUGUAAUGUUAAUUUUGCCUAUACCAUGUUUGUCUGUAUUGCUACGACUAGCAGCGAGGUUACGAGUCACCUGAAGAUCAUCCUGGUAUACCUGGAAUCUCAAGUCCCAGGCAAGUUGUGCCCUUGAUCACUUCUUUUUACCCACUCAUGUUCUAAUUAAUCAUAAUGAUCUGCAUAGGUUAAUUUUGAUGGGACCCAAUAGGUUACCCUAGUUUGAGUAUCUUUAUACCUUGUUUACCACUAAACUUUUUGGGUAGUACUUGCUAGUGCUUUAUGUGGUUUUGGGUAUGAAGAUACAUUAUUCAUGAUCACACUUUUAUUAUCUGUUUAUUAUCACUGUUCAUGAUAAGAUCAUUAUGUUAAUUGGAACAUGGAGCGACCACCCGGGAAAACAGUGCUACCACAAGGGUUUAAUGGGACGCCCUUGGCUAAUUAAUUAGGAAAGCUAGUGGAGGACUACCUUACCCGAAAGGGGCAAGGGCAGUAGGGGAGUGGUCAGUGUAGGGAGGCCCUCGGGAGGAUUUUGCUGCGAUGGCGGUCCUGCAAGGGAUUCCUGCAUUGGAGCUUCCUAUAAACUGUAGCGGGUUUUCUGAAGCUAGUGGAACUUUGUAAAGGCCUCGUAGUGUUACCCUGCCUCGCCUCCUCGGUAGAGGUGUAUGGGAAGUCGCGAUCCCUUGGCAGAUGGGUAACAUGACUUGUGGGUAAAGAUGUGCAACCUCUGCAGAGUGUAAAACUGGUAUACUAGCCGUGCUCACGGUCAUGAGCAGCUCGGACCCUCACAUGAUUAAUCUAUGGAACUUAAAUUCAAUUUGUCAUAUGCAUUGCAUCGCAGGUGAUGUUGUUACUUCUGUUCUACUAUUUAAUUGGGUUGGUAUUUACUUAUACUUAGUAAUGGCUAAUAAAAUUUUGACCAACUUUAAAAGCAAUGCUCAGCUUCAGCCAUCCUCUUUGGUAAGCCUUACACUUCACAUGAGCUCCCACCUUUGGCGAGUUCAUACACAUUAUUCCCCACAACUUGUUGAGCGAUGAACGUAUGUGAGCUCACUCUUGCUGUCUCACACCCCCACAGGUCAAGAACAGGUACCGCAGGAUGAGGCGCUUGGAGGAUGCUGCGAUGUGUUCGUGAGAGGUCUAGGCCGUCGUCUCCCAGUCAACUUUGGUUGCUGGACCGUUGUCUCCUUAUAAUGUAUUUAUUUAUUUAUUUUGUAUAGAACUCCUGUUAUGUAGUAAAGAUGUGACAUUCGAUCCUGUGCCAUGAAUCAUCAUAUGUGUGAGACUUGGUCCCAGCACACCUGGUGAUUAUGUUCGCGCCCGGGUUUUGGACCCCUAAAAUCCGGGUGUGACAGAAGUGGUAUCAGAGGAAUGUUGACUGUAGGACGAAACCUAGAUAGAAAUAGACAAACCUUUACCUACUUACCUUACUCUGAUUCUUCUAUACUUUUCUUGAUCUAAUCUCAUCUUCUACUGUUCUACUCUGAUUAACCUUACCUUUGCUACUCUGAUUCUUUUCUAAACUUAUCUCAAUCCUUUCUCAUCUAUUUCCGCUUUGCUCUGAUUAUUCUACCAUGUUCCUUCUAAAGACAAAAGUGGAUUUCAUACUUUGAAACCCUGUGCCUAAAGUGACUUUAGGAAUAGGAGACCUACUCUUAGGAACAAAAAUAAAACUAUUUUUUAUAGAUAUCUAUGCGCUUGAGUGUUUGUUCUUAUGAUAUCUGUUUGAUUUAGAUCUUUGAUUGAGUGUGGUGAAUUAUGGAGUAAUGUCCGCAAUUACAUCUGCAUAUACAUAUAGGCAUAAAUAAAAUUCAUAAGAUAACCACACAACUUAGAUUAUCCUCCAUUAAAAUGUAUCUAUUUCAUAGAGAUUCCUCUUAUCUUAAAAGAUUCUUUCUUAUCUUAAUAGAUCUGACUAAUCUCAAAAGAUUCUAUCCUAUUCUUAGAGAUACAUCUUGUUCUAAUAAGCAUACUUAUCCCCACCACCUUGCUUAUUUCAUAAUGUCGUAACAAACACGAUCUAUUCCAAAAUUAAAUUAAGUAUACUUUAUCCAGUCUAAUCUGAUUACACCAAUUUAAUUCUGAUCCCAUCUAAUUUGAUCGGAUCUAACCUAAUGGACAAACAUGUUAGAUAAUACUGGUAAAAUAAGAUUGGAUCCUACUCUUAUAAAUAUGUUUUAAUCCAAGUUGGACUAAGAUUCCAAUUUAGACUAGACCACAUACAACAACCUUGCCAUAUGCAACUACCUUAACCACUCGAUAGUUACAUAACCCCUCUGUUUUAACCAACAGGGAUUUUGACCUACCUCAUAUAGCCUGCCCUACCCACAGCUAUCUUAUCCAAGACACCACUACGAAGAAGAUCAACCUCAUCAAGGAAAGGAUAAGAGUCAUCGUCAAGGAUAAAAGUUAAACCAGAUCUCUAGAUGCAUCAAGAUCCACCAUCCAGGAUAGAAGUUUUUCUUGCCUAACCUUCUCUUAUCCUAAGCUUUUCUAAAUCUUACUUAUUAGCUAAAACAUAAUAUGCACAUGUUUUCUAGCCACACUUGCUAAUGAAGAGAAACUUUUGGAAGCAUUAAAACUAAUUGAAAACGAAAAGUAAAAAAAAACUUUCUAUAUCCCUUUCUUGCUAAUCUCGAGGACGAGAUUAUUUUUAAGGGGGUAGGAUUUGUAAUACCCAAAAUCUUAGAAAUAAAAUAGAAUCCUUGAUUAUAUGAUUUUGUGACUAUAUUUUUGCAUAUCAACAAUGUGGGUCCAGUUAAGGCAAAUAAUAAUUAUCUAAAUAUAUAAAUUGUGCAUCAUGCUGGGUCUUUAAAUGUGCACUUGACUUAGAUUUAAACUUCAAAAUGCAGUUCGAAUUUAGAAUUAAAUUUUAGUAAAGAAAUUAAAAAUAGACAAAAAAGAGAGAAAGGAGAGAAUUAAAUCGAGCUAACCAUAAAAUGGCCAGACCAUUUCACUCGACAUGCAAGCAUGAGCGUGCAUAGAUUUUUUUUAACCCUUUUCUUAUUUCUUUAUUCUUUCUAUCGGCUGCUUCAUGACGAUAUCCAUGGGCCCCAGCGCUAACAGGUCACAGCGGUUGUUGUGCUCUACAGAGACUAUCAUGUGGGCCCUAUUCUCUAGAAUUGUAUCCAUGCAUAGUUUGUUACGUACGAAUCAAAUCAGGUAACCGUCCAUGCAUGCGGUUUCUGCGGGCGGGCUCAUUGCGAUUAGGAGCAGGUUGUUGAGAUCCGAAAUUUCUGCCAGAUGCCAACUGAACCAGCUCCUGAGUAUUAAAACCGAACCCCCGUGACUCCCUGCACUAUCUCAUCCGCUGCUGGGAGCUUGCAAUCUUCCAGGAACGUUUUUUUGGUGCUAGCCGAGAGAGAAUCGAGAGGAAGAGAGAGAGAAAACCAUGCGCUGUAGCCUGCUUGUGAAGCCACAAGGCCUCGGCUGGUCGCUCAGGAGGGAUCUCACCGGUGGGCGCUAGAAGGUUGGACAACCGAUGUCGCGGGGUGUGAAGCUCGCCGGACUUGGGAUCUCUGCGCGGUCACCUGUGCUCGGCUGAGCCGUGGUCUGGAGCGACCACAUGGCGAGGGGACUGGACAUCGGAGUUUAGAGCGUCGCCGUGAUCCAAGCGCCACGGUCGGUCAACUCUGCUCCGGUCGACGGUGAGUUUCCCCUCCGCACUCCGUUGCAUCUUCUAUGUUGGCGCUCGGUGUGGCGAUCUAGGAGCUGUCGGGGAGGAUCCUGUGCGCCGAGCCGUAGAUAGAAGAUGAUGGCAUGGCCAUCGGUAAGGGGAAGAAGGCGAGCCCAGGGCCAUCGACCUCGUGAUGAACGGUUAAGAUUAGAAGAAAGGGUAGAAGAAGCCGGGGCCAUAGGAUGCGAUCCGAACGGCCACGAUCAAAUCGCAGAUCCCCUUUUGGGCGAUGGAAGCUAGACCGUAGAUCCGAGAUCCAAGGGCCCUGAUGGCAUACCGGUUCGGUAAAGUGAGCAUUUCAUCUAGGUCCUUGGUGUCUAAUCCAACGGCUCAAAAUAGAUCUUACCCCUUCGCCGUGCACUUUUCUUAAAGAGCCCCUUUGUUUUCUAGAAAAUAACCCGUGGUCCAUGCGGGUGUGGUUCUGAGUGUUGAGAACAUUUGCGCAGGGGACCCUGUACUUUACAGAAUUUGAUGCGCGGUCCAGAGAGAUAGAAAAAUCAGAAAAAUAAAUUUAGAAAAUGAUUUUAAUGUGAAAAUAAAUGCUAGAAACUUGUAAAAUUCAUAGUUAAUUCAUUUUAACUCCAAAUUGAGUCAUUUCAGUUCCUAUAAUUUUGUAUUAAUAUUGUCUAUCAACCAGUAACACUAGUUAGCCAUGAAGAUUGAAUUAAAAUUGUUCAUUUGGAUUAAUCUAUUCUAAGCACUAAAUAAUUUCGGAAAUUCAUAACCGUAGCUCCGAAUUUAGUGGUUCUUGUUCCUACGAUCUCGUAGCAACGUGUAGAUUAUUAUUAUACAAUUUGUUCUUAUAUUUGGUGUAAUAUUAAUUUUGCCUAUACCAUGUUUGUCUGUAUUGCUACGACUAGCAGCGAGGUUACGAGUCACCUGAAGAUCAUCCUGGUAUACCUGGAAUCUCAAGUCCCAGGCAAGUUGUGCCCUUGAUCACUUCUUUUUACCCACUCAUGUUCUAAUUAAUCAUAAUGAUCUGCAUAGGUUAAUUUUGAUGGGACCCAAUAGGUUACCCUAGUUUGAGUAUCUUUAUACCUUGUUUACCACUAAACUUUUUGGGUAGUACUUGCUAGUGCUUUAUGUGGUUUUGGGUAUGAAGAUACAUUAUUCAUGAUCACACUUUUAUUAUCUGUUUAUUAUCACUGUUCAUGAUAAGAUCAUUAUGUUAAUUGGAACAUGGAGCGACCACCCGGGAAAACAGUGCUACCACAAGGGUUUAAUGGGACGCCCUUGGCUAAUUAAUUAGGAAAGCUAGUGGAGGACUACCUUACCCGAAAGGGGCAAGGGCAGUAGGGGAGUGGUCAGUGUAGGGAGGCCCUCGGGAGGAUUUUGCUGCGAUGGCGGUCCUGCAAGGGAUUCCUGCAUUGGAGCUUCCUAUAAACUGUAGCGGGUUUUCUGAAGCUAGUGGAACUUUGUAAAGGCCUCGUAGUGUUACCCUGCCUCGCCUCCUCGGUAGAGGUGUAUGGGAAGUCGUGAUCCCUUGGCAGAUGGGUAACAUGACUUGUGGGUAAAGAUGUGCAACCUCUGCAGAGUGUAAAACUGGUAUACUAGCCGUGCUCACGGUCAUGAGCAGCUCGGACCCUCACAUGAUUAAUCUAUGGAACUUAAAUUCAAUUUGUCAUAUGCAUUGCAUCGCAGGUGAUGUUGUUACUUCUGUUCUACUAUUUAAUUGGGUUGGUAUUUACUUAUACUUAGUAAUGGCUAAUAAAAUUUUGACCAACUUUAAAAGCAAUGCUCAGCUUCAGCCAUCCUCUUUGGUAAGCCUUACACUUCACAUGAGCUCCCACCUUUGGCGAGUUCAUACACAUUAUUCCCCACAACUUGUUGAGCGAUGAACGUAUGUGAGCUCACUCUUGCUGUCUCACACCCCCACAGGUCAAGAACAGGUACCGCAGGAUGAGGCGCUUGGAGGAUGCUGCGAUGUGUUCGUGAGAGGUCUAGGCCGUCGUCUCCCAGUCAACUUUGGUUGCUGGACCGUUGUCUCCUUAUAAUGUAUUUAUUUAUUUAUUUUGUAUAGAACUCCUGUUAUGUAGUAAAGAUGUGACAUUCGAUCCUGUGCCAUGAAUCAUCAUAUGUGUGAGACUUGGUCCCAGCACACCUGGUGAUUAUGUUCGCGCUCGGGUUUUGGACCCCUAAAAUCCGGGUGUGACACGAGUGGGGCGAGAGUCUUGCGAGACCGUGACAACCGCGUUUGUGUCACGGCCGCCACCGUGUACCGGAGGGAACGAGGCCCACGGUGUUUCGGCCGGAAGCUCGAUAGUGGAGACGGCGGGGAGCGUCCGAGAGGAGCCGGAAGCGGAGCACCACUUGCGCGUGGAGAAGGCUCGCGGCUCUCUACGGAGUUACUCGACCGUGGUGCUUGGCCCUCGCGUGGGCUUCCCUUUUGCGUAGGGGCACCAACGAGGAUUAGUCGGGACCUUGCGCGGUUCUGGAUACCUCGGUAAAAAUACCGGCGUCAUCCACGAGAGUUUGCUUCUCUACUUAGCUCUUUACAUUCCGCAUUUAUAUUAAGCAUUUAAGUUUCAAUCUUGUAGUCAUACUUAUUUAGUGUAGAUUGAAACUUAGCCUUUGCGGUAGAGAUAGCAACACUUAGACAAAACCUAGUUUGUUCAUUGUCGUUUUGAUUAUUUGCAUAGGUUUUGCUCUAGGGAUUUAAUUGUGGCCUAGUUUAGUAAAAGUUUUAUAAGUCCUAAUUCACCCCCCCCCUCUUAGGCGUCACCCGUUUCCUACAGGGGCUAAGAACCACCGUCGUCAUGGGAGUACGCGGGGUGCCAUCAUUACUUGUUUACCGGGGUGAGCCAGAUGGGAUGCCAGUCUUGUUCCCCGUAGCCUGAGCUAGCUAGGGGUAGGGUAAUGAUGUACCCCCCUGUGGCGUGGUAAGGCCGAGCCCUGGGUCGGGCGAGGCGGUGACUCCUCCGAGGUAGAGGUUGAGGCCGAGCCCUGGGGUCGGGCGAGGCGAAGACCGUCUUCCGAGGUCGAGGUUGAGGCCGAGCCCUGGGGUCGGGCGUGGCAGAGACCAUCUUCCGAGGCCGAGGCAGGGGCCGAGCCCUGGGGUCGGGCGAGGCGGAGACCACCUUCCGAGGCCGAGGCAGGGGCCGAGCCCUGGGUCGGGAGAGGCGGAGCUUCCUGUUGCGCCUGAGGCCGGACUUAGCUAUUGUCAGCCUCACCCUGGCAGGUGGCACAACAGUCGGAGCAGGGCAGGCGACGCUGUUUUCCUGUCAGGUCAGUCAGUGGAGGGGCGAAGUGACUGUGGCCACUUCGGCCCUGUCGACUGAGGAAUGUGUGUCAGGAUAAGGUGUCAGGCGAUCCUCGCAUUGAAUACUCCUGCGAUACGGUCGGUUGGCGAGGCGAUCUGGCCAAGGUUGCUUCACUGCGAAGCCUGCCCGAGCUGGGCCUCGGGCGAGUCGAGGGUGCGCCCGUUGCUUGAGGAGGCCCUCGGGCGAGGCGUGAAUUCGCCUGGGUCUACUGUUCCUGCCCGAGGCUGGGUUCGGGCGAGGCGAGAUCGCGUCCCUUGAGUGGACGGGGCCUUGACUUGACUUGCGCCCAUCAGGCUCUGCAGCUUGUGCUGAUGGUGAUUACCAGCCGAGUUUAGGAGUCUUGGGGGUACCCCUAAUUAUGGUCCCCGACAUUAAUGUUAAUAUCAGGAGGGUGGUCAUUCCCUCCCUGGUCGAGUUUUUUUAUAUAUUGCUAGUACUCAAAUAUCAUUUGUUAGGAUCGUUUGAAUCAAUACUUAUUUCAUAUUAAACUACUGUAUCCCAGGCUAUAAUUUUAGGGAAUACACGAUGCAUUACAGCUGAUCAGGCAAAAGAAUAACAAAGAAAAUUUACUUGCAGAAAUCAUGCUGGCAUUUAAUUUCCAUAUAAUCACAAAUUUAGAACUAAACGAAAACUUGUGUGGACUUACAAGUUUCUUAAAAAGGCUAUAUAAAAACUGGACGCAUCUGUAAUGCCAAAGGAGGCACAUCAGACAGCCAAUGAAUGAACAUGUCUGGCAGCCUUCUUUGCUUCCUCUAUGAGCUCUGGGCCUUAGUCCAGAUGAUUCCUUGGUGAACAGUGCAGUCUGUUUGUUAAAUUCAAAAGAUCAAAAGGCACACGAUCUUGUGGAAUGCUUUAGUAGGGUCAUGACUCAUGAGUUGGCUUAUGGAAACAGAAAAUAACAGAAAUGGAGCAAACUGGUCGAGUAGAAGUGUGUAAUGAAGCAAGGAUGUAUAUAAGUAACAAAGUGGGAACACAAAGAGAGAAGGCUUGCCCUUACCAUCCAUGGUGGCUGAUUAAGCUUGCACCCCCAGUGAACAAGCAACCUAUAUGAAUGUUUACCCAAUUUUUAUGCCCUCCUAUGCAUUGAAUAAUUGAAUUUAAUGUCAUCUUUUAACCGAACCAACUUUUUGUACAGGUGAAACUGGAAGAACGUAUGAAGCUAGACUUGUUGCAAUUUAUAGACAUGUAAGAGAGAACGGAGUUGAGGGACAACCUAUUUCUGUUUCAACAGAACAAUUUGUAGUAAGUCAAAUCACCUCUCAUACUAUGAUCUUGCAACUGUUUCUUUCUCUCUUUUCUAAGAAUAACUAUUGCAUUAACAUAUUUUACUAACUUGUAUAAAUUGUUAUUUUCAAGAGAUUUUAUGUACUGUCUCUUUACAUACAAUGCUAAUUGCCACAUCCACAAUCUUGCAGAACUUUGAAUGGCAACCAGUUAUCUAGAUCUUUGCCUGAUGCGAUUGGUUACCUGAUGAACUUUAACAGAUUACAAAUAAAAGAUAACAACAUAUCAGGCCCAUACCUAACUCUUUUGCCAACUUAACAAGAAUUAAACAUCUGUAAGUGUCGAGUAUCUUUAUUUUCUGCCCAUCCUGAUGCUUCUGAUUUGUAAAAUUAGUAAAUAAUUAUGGUUCCAAUUUUACCUUUUAGUCACAUGAAUAUUAACUCAUUACAAAUCCCAUCUGAGUUGUCUAGCUUGCCUUGACUCCUUCAUUUGUAAGUAGACCUCAACUUUUUCUCUAAUAUUUUCUAUUUUGCAAGUUGCAGAUUACUUGUAAGUUGACAUGUCUUGUGCUGUGAACUUGCAGCCUUGUUGAUAACAAUAAUUUCUAUUUUGCAAGUUGUAGAUUACUUGUAAUUUGUUUCGUUUAUUGAGUAACACUAUCAUCAUUAUGUCGUUCCUACCGCACUUUCCACAUAUCUUUCAUAAGCGGAUAUUGUUUUCAAUAGUUUUGUGAUUACCAGUCCAUGGAUUACGAUGGACUAAAUGCAAAUGACAUAGGCUUGUAUAGAUCAAGAACCAUGCUAACAGUGAUGAAGAAAGAUGAAUGAAGACUAAUGAUGGUGAACUUAUUUAUUAGCUCAUAGAAAGGUCACAUAGUUUUAUACAAAGUGAUCACCAUUGAGACCGAACACACGACUAAUACAAAUAGAGAACAAAUCAUUACUACUAAGUUUCAUCUAAAACAUAACUAACAAAGUAUCUACUAUAACAAGCUAGAACACGUCUCAAUCAGAUAUCACAGUUG
RNAcentral lists this long non-coding RNA (10617 nucleotides) under Zea mays. RNAcentral describes it as "long non-coding RNA (ZMAY_LNC005565)". Lineage: Eukaryota; Viridiplantae; Streptophyta; Magnoliopsida; Poales; Poaceae. The record is from RNAcentral.